GACGAACGCUGGCGGCGUGCCUAAUACAUGCAAGUCGAGCGAACAGACGCGGAUCUUGCUGCUCUGACGUUAGCGGCGGAGGGGUGUGUAACACGUGGAUACCCUCCCUAUAUGACUGAGAUAACUUCGGGAAACCGGCGCUAAUCCCGGAUAAUCUAUUGCACCGCAUGGGUCGAUGGAGAAUGUCGGUGUUUGUGUCUCUACUCGCUGGUUCCCCGCCGCAUUGGCUGGUUGGUAAGGUACCGGCUUACCACGGCAACCAUGCGUUGCCGACCGGAGAGGGGGAUCGGCCACACUGGAACUGAGACACGGUCCAGACUCCUACGGGAGGGAGCAGAAGGGAAUCUUCCGCAAUGGGCGAAAACCUUACAGAGCAACGCCGCGUGAGUGAUGAAGGUCUUCGGAUCGUAAAACUCUGUUAUUAGUGAAGAACAAAUGUGUAAGUAACUAAGCACGGCUUGACGGUACCUAGUCAGAAAGCCACGGCUAACUACGUG
Molecule: ribosomal RNA, 497 nt
Filed under: uncultured bacterium
Lineage: Bacteria
Description: partial 16S ribosomal RNA
Rfam family: Bacterial small subunit ribosomal RNA
Source: RNAcentral